GAGUAAACAAAUAAGGGCGUAUGGUGGAUGCCUUGGCUCUCAGAGGCGAAGAAGGACGUGAUAAGCUGCGAUAAGCCGUGUAUAGGUGCAAAUAACCGUAGAUGCGCGGAUUUCCGAAUGGGAUAACCCAAUACAUUGAAGAUGUAUUAUACCGUAAGGUAGGCAAACGCAGGGAACUGAAACAUCUAAGUACCUGCAGGAGAAGAAAACAAACGUGAUUCCCCCAGUAGCGGCGAGCGACCGGGGAAUAGCCCAAACCGUAUAUGUUUCGGCAUCUACGGGGUCAUAGGAGCACGAUAGAGUCGAAAAGUAUGAAGUGGAAUGUACUGGAAAGUGCAGCAAAAUAGGGUGACAGCCCCGUACACGUAAGUACGUUAGACUUAGUGUAAUCCUGAGUAAGUCGGGACACGAGGAAUCCUGACCGAAUUCACCGGGACCAUCCGGUAAGGCUAAAUACUCCUGAGAGACCGAUAGCGAACAAGUACUGUGAAGGAAAGGUGAAAAGCACUUCGAACAGAAGAGUGAAAUAGUCCCUGAACCCAUACGCUUACAAGCAGUCGGAGCCCUUAUUAGGGUGACGGCGUGCCUUUUGCAUAAUGAGCCUACGAGUUACGCGUCACUGGCGAGGUUAAGCACUUCAGGUGCGUAAGCCGAAGCGAAAGCGAGUCUUAAUAGGGCGAACAGUCAGUGGCGGUAGACGCGAAACCUUAGUGAUCUACCCAUGAGCAGGCUGAAGGUUUGGUAACACAAACUGGAGGGCCGAACCGCUAAACGUUGAAAAGUUUUCGGAUGACUUGUGGGUAGGGGUGAAAGGCCAAUCAAACUGGGAAAUAGCUCGUACUCUCCGAAAUGCAUUUAGGUGCAGCCUCUGUUGUUUUGUAUUUGAGGUAGAGCUACUGAUUGGAUGCGAGGGUUUCACCGCCUAUCAAAUCCGGCCAAACUCCGAAUGCGAAUACAUAAAGACAGGGAGUGAGCCCGUGGGUGCUAAGGUCCACGGACGAAAGAGGGAGAACUCAGACCAUCAGCUAAGGUCCCCAAUUGUAUGCUAAGUUGAAAAAACGCGGUGGGACUGCUUGGACAGCUAGGAUGUUGGCUUGGAAGCAGCCAUUCAUUUAAAGAGUGCGUAACAGCUCACUAGUCGAGCGGUCCUGCAUGGAUAAUACGCGGGCAUAAGUAUACAACCGAAGCUAUGGGAU
RNAcentral lists this ribosomal RNA (1196 nucleotides) under gut metagenome. Its description in RNAcentral is "bacterial LSU rRNA". It matches the Rfam family "Bacterial large subunit ribosomal RNA", at positions 1 to 1208 of the family's 2925-position model. The record is from RNAcentral.